Molecule: long non-coding RNA, 220 nt
Filed under: Salvia miltiorrhiza (redroot sage)
Lineage: Eukaryota; Viridiplantae; Streptophyta; Magnoliopsida; Lamiales; Lamiaceae
Description: long non-coding RNA (SMIL_LNC012800)
Source: RNAcentral
GAAAAUGAAAGGUAACUGCUCCCACAAAAGCGGGCGCAAAUAAAUUCUUGAUGCAGUUAAUAUUGAAGCGCCACCAACCGUCACCGACCAAAUCCUGCUCCCCAGCAUGUGCCCCGCGUGUCAUCCUACACUAACACUAGUAGGUAGAGAGGUGGGGCCCAUUUCAAAUCUAGCGGUUCAUCCUCGGUGCACCGGAUCCCACCACGUGGCCCCCCAGAAG